Long non-coding RNA from Panicum virgatum (switchgrass), 1072 nucleotides. RefSeq lists it as uncharacterized. The transcript has 2 exons. The record is from RefSeq and is a predicted model, not a curated record. Lineage: Eukaryota; Viridiplantae; Streptophyta; Magnoliopsida; Poales; Poaceae.
UGGGAACUAGUCCCUGCAGCUGCGCACGGGAAGUCAGGGAAGGGUGAACCAUGCCUGACGUGCUCAGGAGACCGACCGAGAAUCCCAUGUGCCCGACGGGAAUGCAUCUUCGGGUCUCGAGCGCGCUAAAAAAUUGGAGCCGGCACCAGCGAAAAAAUCUUGCGCGGGGGAGAGGCGGGCGCAAAGCAGCAGCUGGCCCACGCAUCAGACACAUAGACGAAAAAAGGGCGCGAGGAUGCGCGGGCUCCGUGACUUCUUCCCCCAAAAUCUCUCUAUCUUCCCUCUCGCCUCUUCUGCUUCCCAUUCAUCACCACUCCUCGAUGUGCCGUCGGUCGCUGCAUAUGCUCCUCCCUCCUCACCCACCACAGCUCAGCGCCACCAGCUAGCACCUCCGCCACCAAGCCCUAAGCCACCGCCCGAAAUCCGCUGCCACCCAAGCUCCGGCACCGCCGCCCGAAAUCCCGAAACCCGAGCUCCGGCAUCGCCACCCAAGCAAUGCCGCCGCCCUAGCUACCUCCUUCCAGCGUGUUGCAGAUCUGCAAUCUAGCCCCAUCCCCAAUCUCUAGUCCUCCCACCUGUUCCCAAAUACCAACCAAAAUUUCAGCAAUAUUAAUUUGGGGUAAGAUCUAGAUUGCGUUCAGUUCUUGCUUUUAUUGGGAAAAAUUGUUUUCUCUGAUUUAUUGUGCUCUGCGUACAGAAAUUGGGAGAGGGGAAGCCUUUGGCUGACUGCAAUCUACUUGGUUCCCAACGACGUCCUCAACUUUGACCAAGCUGCCAUCUUCCCCUGCCACCCCUAAAUCCUAGUUAUCACUGGUUUCUCACCGUUGAUCAAGUUGGCUGGUGCUGCUGCUUGGAGAACUGUGAGCUGACCUCAAAGUUUUGGACAGAUAAGGGUGGCUUCUCAUUGCAGCUGGUUAGUUUGUCUACAACUUCUCAUAUUAUUGGCAGAUAAGAUAUGGUAGAUCGAGGGUGGAUGUACAGUGGUUGGAAGCGUGGUAGGCCAUCAAAUGAAUGGGUUGAAAAAACAAAAGAGUUCUUGGAUCGUGCCUUCUCAAUUCCUGAAUUAGUUGAG